Molecule: ribosomal RNA, 812 nt
Filed under: uncultured bacterium
Lineage: Bacteria
Description: bacterial SSU rRNA
Rfam family: Bacterial small subunit ribosomal RNA
Source: RNAcentral
GAAUUCGCCCUUAGAGUUUGAUCCUGGCUCAAGACGAACGCUGGCGGCGUGCUUAACACAUGCAAGUCGAACGAAGCUUGAUUACGGAGCUCUACGGAGUGAAGUAAGAAAUGACUUAGUGGCGGACGGGUGAGUAACGCGUGAGCAACCUGCCUUUCAGAGGGGGAUAACGUUUGGAAACGAACGCUAAUACCGCAUAACAUAUGUUUGUGGCAUCGCAGACAUAUCAAAGAUUUAUCGCUGAGAGAUGGACUCGCGUCUGAUUAGGUAGUUGGUGAGGUAAAGGCCCACCAAGCCGACGAUCAGUAGCCGGACUGAGAGGUUGACCGGCCACAUUGGGACUGAGACACGGCCCAGACUCCUACGGGGGGCAGCAGUGGGGAAUAUUGCACAAUGGGCGCAAGCCUGAUGCAGCAACGCCGCGUGAGGGAAGACGGUCUUCGGAUUGUAAACCUUUGUCUUUGGUGAAGAAGGAAGUGACGGUAGCCAAGGAGGAAGCCACGGCUAACUACGUGCCAGCAGCCGCGGUAAUACGUAGGUGGCAAGCGUUGUCCGGAAUUACUGGGUGUAAGGGGAGCGCAGGCGGGACAGCAAGUUGGAUGUGAAAUACCGAGGCUUAACCACGGAGCUGCAUCCAAAACUGUUGUUCUUGAGUGAAGUAGAGGUAGGCGGAAUUCCGAGUGUAGCGGUGAAAUGCGUAGAUAUUCGGAGGAACACCAGUGGCGAAGGCGGCCUACUGGGCUUUAACUGACGCUGAGGCUCGAAAGUGUGGGGAGCAAACAGGAUUAGAUCCCCUGGUAGUCCACACUGUA